UUACCUACCCUUGACAUGUACGGAAUCCUGAAGAGAUUUGGGAGUGCUCGAAAGAGAACCGUAACACAGGUGCUGCAUGGCUGUCGUCAGCUCGUGUCGUGAGAUGUUGGGUUAAGUCCCGCAACGAGCGCAACCCUUGUCAUUAGUUGCUACGAAAGGGCACUCUAAUGAGACUGCCGGUGACAAACCGGAGGAAGGUGGGGAUGACGUCAAGUCCUCAUGGCCCUUAUGGGUAGGGCUUCACACGUCAUACAAUGGUACAUACAGAGGGCCGCCAACCCGCGAGGGGGAGCUAAUCCCAGAAAGUGUAUCGUAGUCCGGAUUGGAGUCUGCAACUCGACUCCAUGAAGUUGGAAUCGCUAGUAAUCGCGGAUCAGCAUGUCGCGGUGAAUACGUUCCCGGGUCUUGUACACACCGCCCGUCACACCAUGGGAGCGGGUUCUGCCAGAAGUAGUUAGCCUAACCGCAAGGGGGGCGAUUACCACGGCAGGGUUCGUGACUGGGGUGAAGU
Molecule: ribosomal RNA, 511 nt
Filed under: uncultured Herbaspirillum sp.
Lineage: Bacteria; Pseudomonadati; Pseudomonadota; Betaproteobacteria; Burkholderiales; Oxalobacteraceae
Description: bacterial SSU rRNA
Rfam family: Bacterial small subunit ribosomal RNA
Source: RNAcentral